AACGCGAAGAACCUUACCUACUCUUGAAUCCUAAGAACUCUGCAGAGAUGCGGAGGUGCCGCAAGGAACUUAGAGACAGGUGCUGCAUGGUUGUCGUCAGCUCGUGUCGUGAGAUGUUGGGUUAAGUCCCGUAACGAGCGCAACCCUAAUUCUUAGUUACAAACAGGUAAAGCUGUGGACUUUAAGGAGACUGCCGGUGAUAAGCCGGAGGAAGGUUAGGACGACGUCAAAUCAUCAUGGCCCUUACGAGUAGGGCUACACACGUGCUACAAUGGGUGUCACAAAGGGAAGCGAAAUCGCGAGAUGGAGCAAAUCCUAUAAAAGCACUCUUAGUCCGGAUUGGAGUCUGCAACUCGACUCCAUGAAGCUGGAAUCGCUAGUAAUCGUGGAUCAGCACGCCACGGUGAAUACGUUCCCGGGCCUUGUACACACCGUAGUAC
This 440-nucleotide ribosomal RNA is filed under the name uncultured bacterium. RNAcentral describes it as "bacterial SSU rRNA". It matches the Rfam family "Bacterial small subunit ribosomal RNA", at positions 958 to 1398 of the family's 1533-position model. The record is from RNAcentral.